RNAcentral lists this unclassified non-coding RNA (318 nucleotides) under uncultured fungus. RNAcentral describes it as "partial contains small subunit ribosomal RNA, internal transcribed spacer 1, and 5.8S ribosomal RNA". The stretch from base 1 to 73 matches the Rfam family "Eukaryotic small subunit ribosomal RNA", at positions 1759 to 1831 of the family's 1831-position model. Lineage: Eukaryota; Fungi. The record is from RNAcentral.
GCAAACUUGGUCAUUUAGAGGAAGUAAAAGUCGUAACAAGGUUUCCGUAGGUGAACCUGCGGAAGGAUCAUUAGUGAUGUCUUGGGUUUAUUGACUGUGAAGCUGUGGGGUGUGGUGUGUUGGGUGGUGGUGUCACAGUCGUGGUGCUGGGCGUCGUGGUGCCCGGUGGGGUGCCGCGGUGCUCAGUACAACAAUGCUGGCACACCCAAACAACCGCCGCAUAUCAACAACGCGACAAAAACCAUAACAACAACAACGCGAAACGUUACAACUCCCAGCAGCGGAUCUCUUGGCUCCUGCAUCGAUGAAGAACGCAGC